GAUGAACGCUGGCGGCGUGCCUAAUACAUGCAAGUCGAGCGAACGGACGAGAAGCUUGCUGCUCUGAUGUUAGCGGCGGACGGGUGAUUAACACGUGGAUAACCCACCUAUAAGACUGGGAUAACUUCGGGAAACCUUAUCUAAUACCGGAUAAUAUUUUGAACCGCAUGGUUCAAAAGUGAAAGACGGUCUUGCUGUCACUUAUAGAUGGAUCCGCGCUGCAUUAGCUAGUUGGUAAGGUAACGGCUUACCAAGGCAACGAUGCAUAGCCGACCUGAGAGGGUGACCGGCCACACUGGAACUGAGACACGGUCCAGACUCCUACGGGAGGCAGCAGUAGGGAAUCUUGCGCAAUGGGCGAAAGCCUGACGGAGCAACGCCGCGUGAGUGAUGAAGGCCUUCGGAUCGUAAAACGCUGUUAUUAGGGAAGAACAUAUGUGUAAGUAUCUGUGGACGUCUUGACGGUACCGAAUCAGAAAGCAACGGCUAACUACGUG
This 497-nucleotide ribosomal RNA is filed under the name uncultured bacterium. RNAcentral's name for it is "partial 16S ribosomal RNA". It matches the Rfam family "Bacterial small subunit ribosomal RNA", at positions 28 to 507 of the family's 1533-position model. The record is from RNAcentral.